CGGUAAUUCCAGCUCCAAUAGCGUAUACUAACGUUGUUGCAGUUAAAAAGCUCGUAGUUGGAUUUCUGAUCUUUGCCAAUGGUUGUGUCGCCGCGUGCGAGGCGCCUUGCGCAGAGGUCAACAUAUGUCACGAGCCAGUGUGAUCUAUUCAUUUAGGUCCACUGGGUAAUGACUCGUUUACUUUGAGAAAAUUAGAGUGUUCAAAGCAGGCAUUUGCCUUGAAUAUGUUAGCAUGGAAUAAUAGCAUAGGACUUCGGUUCUAUUUGUUGGUUGUUCGAGAACUGGAGUAAUGAUUGAUAGGGACGGUUGGGGGCAUCCGUAUUCUCAAGCGAGAGGUGAAAUUCUUGGACCUUGGGAAGACGAACAGCUGCGAAAGCGUUUGCCUAGGACGUUCUCUUUAAUCAAGAACGAAAGUUGGGGGAUCGAAGACGAUCAGAUACCGUCGUAGUCUCAACUAUAAACUAUGCCAGCUAGGGAUCGGUGGGUCUUUGUCACGAGUCCAUCGGCACCUUACGAGAAAUCAAAGCAUUUGGGUUCCGGGGGGAGUAUGGUCGCAAGGCUGAAACUUAAAGGAAUUGACGGAAGGGCACCACCAGGAGUGGAGCCUGUGGCUUAAUUUGACUCAACACGGGAAAACUUACCAGGUCCGGACAUAGUAAGGAUUGACAGAUUGAAAGCUCUUUCUUGAUUCUAUGGGUGGUGGUGCAUGGCCGUUCUUAGUUGGUGGAGUGAUUUGUCUGGUUAAUUCCGUUAACGAACGAGACCCGCGCCUGCUAAAUAGUCGGCCUCACUUCUGUGGGUGUUGUACUUCUUAGAGGGACCAUCCUGGGUAUACCGGAAGGGAGUUGCGGGCAAUAACAGGUCUGUGAUGCCCUUAGAUGUUCUGGGCUGCACACGGGCUACACUGCAAGAUACAACAAGCGUCGAUCACGCCUGACUGGAAGGUCCGGCCAAUCUUUGAAUAUCUUGCGUGAUUGGGAUAGACCAUUGCAAUUAUUGGUCUUCAACGAGGAAUUCCUAGUAAACGCGUGUCAACAACACGCAUUGAUUACGUCCCUGCCCUUUGUACACACCGCCCGUCGCUCCUACCGAUUGGAUGCUUCGAUGAGCCGUUUGGAGGACUAAGCUGAAAGCGUCAGCCGGAAGCUACGUCCGAAAUUCUGCAAAUCUGAAUAUCUAGAGGAAGGAGAAGUCGUAACAAGGUAGCCG
RNAcentral lists this ribosomal RNA (1209 nucleotides) under uncultured stramenopile. RNAcentral's name for it is "SSU rRNA". It matches the Rfam family "Eukaryotic small subunit ribosomal RNA", at positions 577 to 1805 of the family's 1831-position model. The record is from RNAcentral.